ACACUGGUGGCGCAGUGGCAGAGCUCCUGUCUUCCACACAGGAGACCCAGGUUUGAUUCCCGGCCAGUGUA
Chrysochloris asiatica (Cape golden mole) is the source of this 71-nucleotide non-coding RNA. Lineage: Eukaryota; Metazoa; Chordata; Mammalia; Afrosoricida; Chrysochloridae. The record is from the annotation of a RefSeq genome assembly.